Molecule: ribosomal RNA, 267 nt
Filed under: uncultured Lactobacillus sp.
Lineage: Bacteria; Bacillati; Bacillota; Bacilli; Lactobacillales; Lactobacillaceae
Description: partial 16S ribosomal RNA
Rfam family: Bacterial small subunit ribosomal RNA
Source: RNAcentral
AAGGCGAUGAUGCAUAGCCCGAGUUGAGAGACUGAUCGGGCCACAUUGGGACUGAGACACGGCCCAAAACUCCUACGGGGAGGCAACAGUAGGGAAUCUUCCACAAUGGACGCAAGUCUGAUGGAGCAACGCCGCGUGAGUGAAGAAGGGUUUCGGCUACGUAAAAGCUCUGUUGUUGGUGAAGAAGGACAGGGGUAGUAACUGACCUUUGUUUGACGGUAAUCAAUUAGAAGUCACGGCUAACUACGUGCCAGCAGCCGCGGUAAU